GUCUCCAGCCACGCCACCCUGAGCACGCCCGGUCCCGUCUGAUCUCGGAAGCUCAGCAGGGUCGGGCCCGCUUAGUACUUGGAUGGGAGACCACCUUGGAAUACCGGGUGCUGUAGGUG
RNAcentral lists this ribosomal RNA (119 nucleotides) under Pteropus alecto (black flying fox). Lineage: Eukaryota; Metazoa; Chordata; Mammalia; Chiroptera; Pteropodidae. The record is from RNAcentral.